ACCUGGGUGGCUCAGUUGGUUAAGCAUCUGACUUCAGCUCAGGUCAUGAUCUCACGGUUUGUGGGUUUGAGUCCCACGUCGAGUU
This 85-nucleotide transfer RNA is filed under the name Felis catus (domestic cat). It matches the Rfam family "tRNA". From Rfam's summary of the family: Transfer RNA (tRNA) molecules are approximately 80 nucleotides in length. Their secondary structure includes four short double-helical elements and three loops (D, anti-codon, and T loops). Lineage: Eukaryota; Metazoa; Chordata; Mammalia; Carnivora; Felidae. The record is from Rfam by way of RNAcentral.